This 465-nucleotide ribosomal RNA is filed under the name uncultured bacterium. RNAcentral describes it as "partial 16S ribosomal RNA". It matches the Rfam family "Bacterial small subunit ribosomal RNA", at positions 339 to 795 of the family's 1533-position model. The record is from RNAcentral.
CUACGGGAGGCAGCAGUGGGGAAUAUUGCACAAUGGGCGCAAGCCUGAUGCAGCCAUGCCGCGUGUAUGAAGAAGGCCUUCGGGUUGUAAAGUACUUUCAGCGGGGAGGAAGGGAGUAAAGUUAAUACCUUUGCUCAUUGACGUUACCCGCAGAAGAAGCACCGGCGAACUCCGUGCCAGCAGCCGCGGUAAUACGGAGGGUGCAAGCGUUGAAUCGGAAUUACUGGGCGUAAAGCGCACGCAGGCGGUUUGUUAAGUCAGAUGUGAAAUCCCCGGGCUCAACCUGGGAACUGCAUCUGAUACUGGCAAGCUUGAGUCUCGUAGAGGGGGGUAGAAUUCCAGGUGUAGCGGUGAAAUGCGUAGAGAUCUGGAGGAAUACCGGUGGCGAAGGCGGCCCCCUGGACGAAGACUGACGCUCAGGUGCGAAAGCGUGGGGAGCAAACAGGAUUAGAUACCCUUGUAGUC